This 253-nucleotide ribosomal RNA is filed under the name uncultured bacterium. Its description in RNAcentral is "partial 16S ribosomal RNA". It matches the Rfam family "Bacterial small subunit ribosomal RNA", at positions 524 to 776 of the family's 1533-position model. The record is from RNAcentral.
UACGUAGGGGGCAAGCGUUGUCCGGAUUUAUUGGGCGUAAAGAGCGUGUAGGCGGCCUGAAAGGUCAGCUGUGAAAACUCGAGGCUCAACCUCGAGACGUCGGUUGAAACCAUCUGGCUAGAGUCCGGAAGAGGAGUGUGGAAUUCCCGGUGUAGCGGUGAAAUGCGCAGAUAUCGGGAAGAACACCCGUGGCGAAGGCGGCCACCUGGACUGAUACUGACACUGAGGCGCGAAAGCGUGGGGAGCGAACAGG